UUUAUCCUUGUGGUAGUAAUAACUGACGUCAAUGUAUUUUCUCUUCCAUGGGUGGGGAGCGCAGUCGCAACAAGACGCGCAUAUAAGGCCGCGUGUGCAAACAAAUCCCUGCAAUCCGCAUUUCUACACCCUCCCUCGAGGAUGGCGGGUUUGCUUGGCUUCCAACAGAAGAAGAAGGGGUGCGUUGCAUCCUCCUCUGGUUACCUUCUGGGUUACACACCACACAUUCAUCCAAAUGUCAUCUCUAUUUUCUUUCUUUACAUUCAAACAGGGGGUCAUCAUGGGUUAACAAAACUGGACAAAUAAGUUAGGAUUUUUACAACCACUACUUUUUGUUAAAAUUAUUUAUUUAUUUGUUACUGAAAUUUCCAAAAGGAUUUGAUAUUUACUUAGGAUUAUUAUAAGUGAAGAAGUAUUUGGUCACGUUAACCGUUAUAUGUGGUCCAUUCUAACUCAAUUGAAUCAUCGUCAGAACGAGAUAAUAAUCACCCGCGGGGUUAUAAUAUCCACAGUUAGAUCUAUUCUCGCGUUAGAGUUUAAAUCGUCGGUACCGUUUGAUCCUCGAACCAUGUCUCCUUUCGCUAUCUCACUGUUGUGUCUACCGGAAGAUCAAAACUCCCAAGAGGAAUUAAGGAACAACAAAAACCUGACUUGAAUUUUUAUCAUUCGGUUGAGAUCCAUCUUUCGAUUUGAUCUACGAACAACCAACUUACUCUUCUUCUUGGUGGGCUAAAAAUUUGGUUAACAAGUUAGAAAAACACAUAUAUUUCAAGAAACUCAACCGGUACUAUCAAGAUGGCGAUUUACGUGGCAAACCAUAUGGAAAACCACAGAGUAGAAGGAAGAAGGAUCUAUUCCAAAAUAUAUGACCGUGUAGAGGGAUGAGGCAGGGGAGUGCAAAAAGGAUACAGGGACUUGGAAACGAACGAUAGAAAACUCUUUUAUGAUAAGCUGAAAAACUAAACGUCUUCUUCAGUAUUUUGUUUACUUUACACGAUACCCCACUUCUUUCAUCUGGCACACGAGUAAUAGAAGAAGAAAGUCACUCUUUGAUACUUUACGAAGAAGUUAGAAAGAGACAGAUAUAGGAAUAUGGUUGGGACUAUGGUAAAAAGGAAGAAAAAAACGUUCACAAGGAAGAGAAGGUUUACGUUCAUGGUUCUUGGCUACUGUUUCUGUUGCUGCUACUGUUGCUGCUCCAAUUGGUGUUGGCGGUGAUCUUCAAAGAGGAAUCCGC
This is a long non-coding RNA of Polistes dominula (European paper wasp), 1237 nucleotides long. RefSeq lists it as uncharacterized. The record is from RefSeq and is a predicted model, not a curated record. Lineage: Eukaryota; Metazoa; Arthropoda; Insecta; Hymenoptera; Vespidae.